GCUGGGUGGAUUAGUGGCGAACGGGUGAGUAACACGUGAGUAACCUGCCCUUGACUCUGGGAUAAGCCCGGGAAACUGGGUCUAAUACCGGAUAGGAGCGCCUGUCGCAUGACGGGUGUUGGAAAGAUUUUUCGGUCAUGGAUGGACUCGCGGCCUAUCGUUGGUGAGGUAACGGCUCACCAAGGCGACGACGGGUAGCCGGCCUGAGAGGGUGACCGGCCACACUGGGACUGAGACACGGCCCAGACUCCUACGGGAGGCAGCAGUGGGGAAUAUUGCACAAUGGGCGGAAGCCUGAUGCAGCGACGCCGCGUGAGGGAUGACGGCCUUCGGGUUGUAAACCUCUUUCAGUAGGGAAGAAGCGAAAGUGACGGUACCUGCAGAAGAAGCACCGGCUAACUACGUGCCAGCAGCCGCGGUAAUACGUAGGGUGCGAGCGUUAUCCGGAAUUAUUGGGCGUAAAGAGCUCGUAGGCGGUUUGUCGCGUCUGUCGUGAAAGUCCGGGGCUUAACCCCGGAUCUGCGGUGGGUACGGGCAGACUAGAGUGCAGUAGGGGAGACUGGCUGGUGUAGCGGUGGAAUGCGCAGAUAUCAGGAGGAACACCGAUGGCGAAGGCAGGUCUCUGGGCUGUAACUGACGCUGAGGAGCGAAAGCAUGGGGAGCGAACAGGAUUAGAUACCCUGGUAGUCCAUGCCGUAAACGUUGGGCACUAGGUGUGGGGACCAUUCCACGGUUUCCGCGCCGCAGCUAACGCAUGCCCCGCCUGGGGAGUACGGCCGCAAGGCUAAAACUCAAAGGAAUUGACGGGGGCCCGCACAAGCGGCGGAGCAUGCGAUUGAUGCAACGCGAGAACCUUACCAAGGCUUGACAUGUUUUCGAUCGCCGUGAGACACGAUAUCCCUUUGGGGCUGAUUCACAGGUGGAUGCAUGGGUGUCGUCAGCUCGUGUCUCGAGAUGUUGGG
RNAcentral lists this ribosomal RNA (962 nucleotides) under Micrococcus flavus. Its description in RNAcentral is "bacterial SSU rRNA". It matches the Rfam family "Bacterial small subunit ribosomal RNA", at positions 82 to 1079 of the family's 1533-position model. Lineage: Bacteria; Bacillati; Actinomycetota; Actinomycetes; Micrococcales; Micrococcaceae. The record is from RNAcentral.